AUUGAACGCUGGCGGCAGGCCUAACACAUGCAAGUCGAGCGGAUGAAGGGAGCUUGCUCCUGGAUUCAGCGGCGGACGGGUGAGUAAUGCCUAGGAAUCUGCCUGGCAGUGGGGGAUAACGUCCGGAAACGGGCGCUAAUACCGCAUACGUCCUGAGGGAGAAAGUGGGGGAUCUUCGGACCUCACGCUAUCAGAUGAGCCUAGGUCGGAUUAGCUAGUUGGUGGGGUAAAGGCCUACCAAGGCGACGAUCCGUAACUGGUCUGAGAGGAUGAUCAGUCACACUGGAACUGAGACACGGUCCAGACUCCUACGGGAGGCAGCAGUGGGGAAUAUUGGACAAUGGGCGAAAGCCUGAUCCAGGCAUGCCGCGUGUGUGAAGAAGGUCUUCGGAUUGUAAAGCACUUUAGGUUGGGAGGAAGGGCAGUAAGUUAAUACCUUGCUGUUUUGACGUUACCAACAGAAUAAGCACCGGCUAACUUCGUG
RNAcentral lists this ribosomal RNA (484 nucleotides) under uncultured bacterium. RNAcentral describes it as "partial 16S ribosomal RNA". It matches the Rfam family "Bacterial small subunit ribosomal RNA", at positions 30 to 507 of the family's 1533-position model. The record is from RNAcentral.